This 506-nucleotide long non-coding RNA is filed under the name Daucus carota (carrot). RNAcentral describes it as "long non-coding RNA (DCAR_LNC001675)". The record is from RNAcentral. Lineage: Eukaryota; Viridiplantae; Streptophyta; Magnoliopsida; Apiales; Apiaceae.
UUUUCAUCUUCUUAUUCAGUGAUUAACAUUUAGCUCAGAGGGACCCCAAUAAUUCUUAGCUUUAAUAUUCAAUUGACAACAACACUUCUGAUUGUUUUCUUUACUUGAUUAUGAUAUAUGAACCUAGGGUCGCGCUCAGGAGAGAAUGAAUCCUUAAAAUAGAACCUUAGAACCACUAAGGUUUUGCUGCAAAACCCUAAAUUUUAAAUAGAUUUUCAGGAUCUAAAUCUAAAUACAUGUUUUUUGCAUCGUUGUUUGUGUUCAAAAUAAUUUUACAUGUUUUUUGCAUCAUUGUAUGCGUUCAAAAAUAAUUUCAAAAUAUAUUAUAUAAAUACGACAUUUUUUGCAUGUGCAGUUCUGCUGCAGAACCCUAAUUAAUACUAGAAAUAAUGCUAAGGGCUCUAAGUGGAACAUGACCCUAUGAACCUAAUUUAAGAUCAGAUAUGAUGGUGAAUGCUAGAAAAAUAUAUAAAAAAAUUUCUGUAUACUUAUUUAAGAAGUUUGCC